UACGAAGGGGGCUAGCGUUGUUCGGAAUCACUGGGCGUAAAGAGUACGUAGGCGGAUUGUUAAGUCAGGGGUGAAAUCCCGAGGCUCAACCUCGGAACUGCCUUUGAUACUGGCAGUCUUGAGUCCGGGAGAGGUGAGUGGAACUCCUAGUGUAGAGGUGAAAUUCGUAGAUAUUAGGAAGAACACCAGUGGCGAAGGCGGCUCACUGGCCCGGAACUGACGCUGAGGUACGAAAGCGUGGGGAGCAAACAGG
Molecule: ribosomal RNA, 253 nt
Filed under: uncultured bacterium
Lineage: Bacteria
Description: partial 16S ribosomal RNA
Rfam family: Bacterial small subunit ribosomal RNA
Source: RNAcentral